CACGUAGGGCGCAAGCGUUGUCCGGAAUUAUUGGGCGUAAAGAGCUCGUAGGCGGUCUGUUGCGUCUGCUGUGAAAACUCGGGGCUUAACCCCGAGCCUGCAGUGGAUACGGGCAGACUAGAGGUAGGUAGGGGAGAAUGGAAUUCCCGGUGUAGCGGUGAAAUGCGCAGAUAUCAGGAGGAACACCAAUGGCGAAGGCAGAUCUCUGGGCCGUAACUGACGCUGAGGAGCGAAAGCAUGGGGAGCGAACAGG
RNAcentral lists this ribosomal RNA (253 nucleotides) under uncultured bacterium. RNAcentral describes it as "partial 16S ribosomal RNA". It matches the Rfam family "Bacterial small subunit ribosomal RNA", at positions 524 to 776 of the family's 1533-position model. The record is from RNAcentral.